AAAUUGAAGAGUUUGAUCAUGGCUCAGAUUGAACGCUGGCGGCAGGCCUAACACAUGCAAGUCGAGCGGAAACGACAACAUUGAAUCUUCGGAGGAUUUGUUGGGCGUCGAGCGGCGGACGGGUGAGUAAUGCCUAGGAAAUUGCCUUGAUGUGGGGGAUAACCAUUGGAAACGAUGGCUAAUACCGCAUAAUGCCUACGGGC
Molecule: ribosomal RNA, 203 nt
Filed under: Vibrio tasmaniensis
Lineage: Bacteria; Pseudomonadati; Pseudomonadota; Gammaproteobacteria; Vibrionales; Vibrionaceae
Description: partial 16S ribosomal RNA
Rfam family: Bacterial small subunit ribosomal RNA
Source: RNAcentral